This 639-nucleotide long non-coding RNA is filed under the name Amborella trichopoda. RNAcentral describes it as "long non-coding RNA (ATRI_LNC002010)". The record is from RNAcentral. Lineage: Eukaryota; Viridiplantae; Streptophyta; Magnoliopsida; Amborellales; Amborellaceae.
GUCCCAAACCGAGGAUAAUAGUAGAAGUCAAAAUGUUAUAUGGUCCUGCAGGUGCAUAUUGUUUGUUCCCGCUUCUAAAACUCUAUCAAGAAGCCUUUUUAGGAUCCCCAUCCAUCCAGCAACUAACUUUUGUAAAAGAAAAUUUCAUAUCCAUUCUGUCAGUGCCUGAAAAAGAGCCGUAAAAUCGUAAGAUUGACUAGAGUUUGUCUAAUUUUCUUUACUCAAGUGUUCAAGAACUCUAGGGAGAAGGGUUGCCUCCUCACAAAGGAGGUCCUCUUUGAACACAAAAGAGAAAGGUCUUUUUGAGUAAGAUGCAUUGCAUAUGCGUGAUCAUUUGACUUUUAUUUUUAUUUAUUUAUUUAUUUAUAUUUAUUUUUAAAUACUCAAUCAGGUGAUUUUAAAGUAAAUGCCAGAAUUUUAUACCAAAAAAUCUUAGUAAUUAGCUUUUAGACUCAAGAAAGUAAAUAUACAGUUCCUCCCAUGAGAGUACACUAUACCACUCUUAACAAUACAAUAAACUAUAAUAUAAUAUAUGGGUGUGGUUUCUAUAGCAACGUUAAACAAUCCAAUUAAGGCGCGCCUUCAAAUUUGAUCAUAACAUAUAAUUUUGAUGUAAAAUAUUUUUAGGACUCUCUCAAA